CUGAAUUCAGCGGCGGACGGGUGAGUAAUGCCUAGGAAUCUGCCUGGUAGUGGGGGACAACGUUUCGAAAGGAACGCUAAUACCGCAUACGUCCUACGGGAGAAAGCAGGGGACCUUCGGGCCUUGCGCUAUCAGAUGAGCCUAGGUCGGAUUAGCUAGUUGGUGAGGUAAUGGCUCACCAAGGCGACGAUCCGUAACUGGUCUGAGAGGAUGAUCAGUCACACUGGAACUGAGACACGGCCCAGACUCCUACGGGAGGCAGCAGUGGGGAAUAUUGGACAAUGGGGGGAACCCUGAUCCAGCCAUGCCGCGUGUGUGAAGAAGGCCUUUUGGUUGUAAAGCACUUUAAGCGAGGAGGAGGCUACUAGUAUUAAUACUACUGGAUAGUGGACGUUACUCGCAGAAUAAGCACCGGCUAACUCUGUGCCAGCAGCCGCGGUAAUACAGAGGGUGCGAGCGUUAAUCGGAUUUACUGGGCGUAAAGCGUGCGUAGGCGGCUGAUUAAGUCGGAUGUGAAAUCCCUGAGCUUAACUUAGGA
Molecule: ribosomal RNA, 538 nt
Filed under: uncultured Acinetobacter sp.
Lineage: Bacteria; Pseudomonadati; Pseudomonadota; Gammaproteobacteria; Moraxellales; Moraxellaceae
Description: bacterial SSU rRNA
Rfam family: Bacterial small subunit ribosomal RNA
Source: RNAcentral